RNAcentral lists this long non-coding RNA (2355 nucleotides) under Eucalyptus grandis. RNAcentral's name for it is "long non-coding RNA (EGRA_LNC001151)". The record is from RNAcentral. Lineage: Eukaryota; Viridiplantae; Streptophyta; Magnoliopsida; Myrtales; Myrtaceae.
UGUGGUGGAAGUUUCAAUGCAGUGGAGAAUCCAAGGCAAUCCUACCUGGGAAGAAGAAAAUCAAACCAAAAAUAAAAAGAGAAUUGCUAUUAUGAUACCGUAAAUUAGAAUUGACGAUUCCAUGUCUAAUCCUAUCCACGAAUCGAGAACUGAACUAAUUACUAAUUUUUGGAACCAGGGCCGGAGCCUGUCUGAUCUAAUAAAAUGGGUCACUAAAAACGAAACCUGAUGGCUAGCCUUAGAUCUGGGAAGAAGAGAAAAUAGAAGAGGCCUACUUCCUAAAUCUUAUUUCUUUUGGUGAAAAAAUAAUACUUUUAGCAUGAAUGCAGGCCCCGCAAUCAGAACCUUUUUUCCUUCGUCCUAGAACAAUAACGAACUAUGAAAGACGCGUGUAGGUAUUUUUAUGGCAUUGGAUAACAGUUUUACAUCAUCUCAUUCAUUUAGAUCAUAAUAUUAGGUAAGGAUAUAGUGAAUUUUUUGAGAGAGCACGAGAAAUUCUCAAGUUUUCAGUUUUAUAUUUGUAUAAAUAGAUAAUGUUUAGAACUUAAAUAAAGCUUUUUUAACCAUAGAAACUUAAAUAAUUCUAACUCCACAAAGUUUUUUUGGUCAAAAAAUUCCACAAAGUUUAUAGAGCUAUGUCCUGACCUACAUAGUAUCAAAAGUAGUCUCAUCUUUCGUAUUAUUAUCAUUUUUAGAAUAAAGUACUUAAUUUCAAAUAUAUAUCGAAAUCAAUAAAUUUGAAUUUACUUUCUUUAUAUUAUGAAAUGGUCAUGCUCUUGCAUGUUAUAAGAUGAUUUUAUUACUGUGUUUGGACAAAAUGAUAAUCGAGGAGGGUACAAGCUCCUAUGUACACGCUUAUAUGGUGAUUAUAUGCACAAACAUUCUAAGAAAGUAAACUUUUGAUCAUCAUAUUCUUGUGAAUUAGAUUUUAAUCCUAAUAAAUUAUUUUAGAGACAAAACUAAUCAAAAACAUAUUCAUUAGAUUGAUUAAAUGCUUUCAACCCUUGCAGAAAUUAAAUUCAUUUCCCUAGAUAAUCUAAAUCAAUCACAUAUUUGUGUGCCCUUUUUUGCUAGUGAAUUGGAUUAGUGAACUAAUCUACGCAGACUGAUUCCCAAUUUUCUGAUCAAACACGAUUUCGUCUUGGAUAUAAUUUUCCAUGUCAUUUUUUAACGUGGAUUUUUUAAUGCUACGUCAAACAAGUAACAAUAUUUUUUAACGUGGAUUUUUUAAUGCCAUGAUCAUACCUGCUUUGAGUCAAAAAAAAUGCUACUUUUAUCUCCUGGUUUUUCGACUCCAAAAUCCGAACUUCAGGUGCGCUUCUGAAACACAACCACCCAACAAAAAGAAGCAAAACACCAAAAAAAAAAAAAAAAAAAAAAAAACCCAACUUUUAUUCAUCACAUAAUAAAUGUCAAAGCAAAUUUAAAACAAUCAAAACAUGAAGAGCUUAUCAUGAAAUUGCUAGAACCCAGAGAACUGUGAACAAAAAUACGUUGCUUCUAAAUCUUUCAAUUCAAAGAACCUCGUACAAGAGAAUAGAAAGGCAUGAAAAAAUUCAAGAAUGGAUGCUGGAAAACGUAUAUUCGAGAAAAAGCCCAGCCAAAACUCUGCUGGGGACAGACAGGUAUAAAUGCAUAGAUAAGGUAAGGGGAGCAUUUCGAGCGAGUUCGAGAAUGUUCGAGGAUUUGACGGCACUAUUUGAGAACCCACCGCUUUAUGACACUGGUAAUCUUCUCAAGCAACCGCUUUUACCCACUACUUCGAUUCCGCAAACGGGGAGAAACCCACGAGGAAAGAAGAAUUGCAGGGAACCCCAGAUUGCAGAUUUGUUGUUAAGAAGAACGGGAAGCGAGAGCACGAGCGGUCCGUACGUCGAUGGCGAAAGUGAGAGCACCUCCAAAAACGACACGAGACGAGCUACAACAGGAAGAAAUUGAACGAACAGCAAAACGCAAACGAUCUACGACUAACCCUCUCGCUCAAUCGAGCGACAAAUCAAACCCUAAUAAAAAGGCAAAGGGGAGCAAUGAAAAACAAAGCGAGAAUCGCCACAGAGAGAGUAAGAAUUGCCAAGGAGAGAGACGCCUACCGUUUCUUAAGACUAGUCGCGGCAACAAAGGAGAAGGAAAGGUGUCGCGACUCUGUCUUCUCCGGCGAACUAUGCGAAGAGGAGGAGGAGGAGAAACAAACUUCACAAGAGAGAACAGAGAGAGACAAAAAGACGCCUGCCAAGAAGUUUUAAAAAGGAUGAGAAUUAAUAACCAAGCUCCGAUAAAAUUUCGAUACCCAUAUAACGGUGGAUUGUUGGGAAGAUGAGUGGAAAGAGACUUUGGACGAGUCUUCGUUGAACUUAC